GUUUUUUGGAAGUGGACACUGUAUAAUAUACCCCAUUGUGCAUUUCACCAUUGGAACGGAAAUGAAAAUGCCAAUGAAAUAAUUCAAUAAUUAGCAUAUCGAUUAAUGAAAACACAGCUUUGUUGAAUUGAGUUGCAAGUUAUUAAAACAUUGUAAAGAUUACUCAAUUCUCACAGCCUUGAGAGUAAGGAACCCCACAAAAAAAUUCAACUACAAAGUAUAAGAGAUAAUCCCAAUUACAAUGAAAUAAUCAAAUUUAAGCAAACUAAUCAAGCCACACCCAAGAAAAGAUUAAAAGCACAAAAAAGGGAAAAUUAUUAAUUUUUUUUUAAAGAAGUACCAAACAGUAGCAUAGUUCAUUAAACAGAGCAAGUUCCAAAAAGAAUGAACAAAUAAAAUAAAAGAAAAAGAAAAACCAACAUAUUGAGUAGUAGUAUAUAUUAACAUAAAUUAUCAUCAAUAAAAGAUGGCAGUAUAUCACAAAAUUAUCCUAGAUCAGAUGCUUAGCCAAAGUAAGAUUUCUCCACACGAGAACUACCAGAUGAAAAGUUCUAUUAAAAGCCACAUUACAAUGAAGACCCCAAAUAAUAAGUGGUGUAGACAUUUAAGUAGAUUAAGCAGCAAGAUUGGCACAACAAUAAGAUUGCCCCUUUGUGAUCAGAAGGUCAUUGCAUUGGAGUUAUGACAAAAAUAGAGGGCAAGGCUGCCUGUAAUAUAUGACCAUUGAAAAGGGGGGAGCCUCGUGCACUAAAGAUAUGCUUUUGUAAGGCAGUAUCAUCACUGAAGGAAAUCAACAAGUGCAAUAAUAUUUUGGAGUGUUACAUUAUCAAAGUAAAGACAAAAUUUCCAAGGUAUUCACAUCAUACAACUAUAUCUGUUAUAUCCUCUAGCAAAGGCUUCUGUUAUA
This 907-nucleotide unclassified non-coding RNA is filed under the name Hevea brasiliensis (rubber tree). The record is from RNAcentral. Lineage: Eukaryota; Viridiplantae; Streptophyta; Magnoliopsida; Malpighiales; Euphorbiaceae.